RNAcentral lists this ribosomal RNA (808 nucleotides) under Fusarium petroliphilum. RNAcentral describes it as "LSU rRNA". It matches the Rfam family "Eukaryotic large subunit ribosomal RNA", at positions 76 to 914 of the family's 3401-position model. Lineage: Eukaryota; Fungi; Ascomycota; Sordariomycetes; Hypocreales; Nectriaceae. The record is from RNAcentral.
UGCCCCAGUAACGGCGAGUGAAGCGGCAACAGCUCAAAUUUGAAAUCUGGCUCUCGGGCCCGAGUUGUAAUUUGUAGAGGAUGCUUUUGGUGAGGUGCCUUCCGAGUUCCCUGGAACGGGACGCCAUAGAGGGUGAGAGCCCCGUCUGGUUGGACGCCGAACCUCUGUAAAGCUCCUUCGACGAGUCGAGUAGUUUGGGAAUGCUGCUCUAAAUGGGAGGUAUAUGUCUUCUAAAGCUAAAUACCGGCCAGAGACCGAUAGCGCACAAGUAGAGUGAUCGAAAGAUGAAAAGAACUUUGAAAAGAGAGUUAAACAGUACGUGAAAUUGUUGAAAGGGAAGCGCUUGUGACCAGACUUGGGCUUGGUUGAUCAUCCGGGGUUCUCCCCGGUGCACUCUUCCGGCCCAGGCCAGCAUCAGUUCGCCCUGGGGGACAAAGGCUUCGGGAACGUGGCUCUCUCCGGGGAGUGUUAUAGCCCGUUGCGUAAUACCCUGUGGCGGACUGAGGUUCGCGCAUUCGCAAGGAUGCUGGCGUAAUGGUCAUCAGUGACCCGUCUUGAAACACGGACCAAGGAGUCGUCUUCGUAUGCGAGUGUUCGGGUGUCAAACCCCUACGCGAAAUGAAAGUGAACGCAGGUGAGAGCUUCGGCGCAUCAUCGACCGAUCCUGAUGUUAUCGGAUGGAUUUGAGUAAGAGCAUACGGGGCCGGACCCGAAAGAAGGUGAACUAUGCCUGUGUAGGGUGAAGCCAGAGGAAACUCUGGUGGAGGCUCGCAGCGGUUCUGACGUGCAAAUCGAUCGUCAAACAUGG